GAUCGAUGAUGAGGCUUAUCCCAAAGCUGAUAGCCUGAAGAAAAGGGU
This 48-nucleotide small nucleolar RNA is filed under the name Erinaceus europaeus (western European hedgehog). RNAcentral describes it as "Small nucleolar RNA SNORD50 (ENSEEUG00000022785.1)". The record is from RNAcentral. Lineage: Eukaryota; Metazoa; Chordata; Mammalia; Eulipotyphla; Erinaceidae.